RNAcentral lists this transfer RNA (32 nucleotides) under Riella helicophylla. RNAcentral describes it as "partial tRNA-His". The record is from RNAcentral. Lineage: Eukaryota; Viridiplantae; Streptophyta; Marchantiopsida; Sphaerocarpales; Riellaceae.
CGGACGUAGCCAAGUGGAUUAAGGCAGUGGAU